RNAcentral lists this ribosomal RNA (490 nucleotides) under uncultured bacterium. RNAcentral's name for it is "partial 16S ribosomal RNA". It matches the Rfam family "Bacterial small subunit ribosomal RNA", at positions 30 to 507 of the family's 1533-position model. The record is from RNAcentral.
AUUGAACGCUGGCGGCAGGCCUAACACAUGCAAAUCGAACGGUAACAGGAAGAAGCUUGCUUCUUUGCUGACGAGUGGCGGACGGGUGAGUAAUGUCUGGGAAACUGCCUGAUGGAGGGGGAUAACUACUGGAAACGGUAGCUAAUACCGCAUAACGUCGCAAGACCAAAGAGGGGGACCUUCGGGCCUCUUGCCAUCGGAUGUGCCCAGAUGGGAUUAGCUAGUAGGUGGGGUAACGGCUCACCUAGGCGACGAUCCCUAGCUGGUCUGAGAGGAUGACCGGCCACCCUGGAACUAAGACACGGUCCAGACCCCUCCGGGAGGCAGCGGGGGGGAAUUUUGAACAAGGGGGGAAAGCCUGAUGCAGCCAUCCGGGGGGAAGAAAGAAGGCCUUGGGGUUUUAAAGUACUUCCAGGGGGGAGGAAGGGAGAAAAGUUAAUACCUUUACUCAUUGACGUUACCCGAAAAAAAAGCCCGGGCUAACCCCGUG